Girardinichthys multiradiatus is the source of this 579-nucleotide long non-coding RNA. RefSeq lists it as uncharacterized. The transcript is spliced from 2 exons. The record is from RefSeq and is a predicted model, not a curated record. NCBI's taxonomy places the organism in Eukaryota, Metazoa, Chordata, Actinopteri, Cyprinodontiformes, Goodeidae.
GCUACUUACGCCGUGGCUGCCUGCUACUCGUCGCCUGAGUGUUGAGCCUAUGUGGUAACCAGUUCAAGCCAGCUUUCUGGUUUUGAUCAGUUCUGUUUUCGCGUUAGGAAACUGUAACCUGUGUGUGCGACGAUCCUAUCAUCGUUCCUCUAGCGCUUGGACCCUUUUGGAUUACCUGUCUGGAUUCUGCAUACACUCCAGGACCGGCCAUUCUUCAUCUUCUACUGGACCUAUGCUACACUACGACAAGGGUACUCCUCCUGCAGACCUGUUCACCCUCCAACGUAACUCCAGCUUCACCCUCCGCUCACUUCCCACGGAGAGUACGAGUGCUGUGAAUUCUACGUUAGUUUCUUAACUCCGUCUCCCCUGGCGAAUUCCGUUCUCUCUCUAUUGGAGAGACCAGACUCCUGUCACUUCCUUGUAGGAUUUAGGAAAUAAUAAACUUCUUUUCACCGUGAGAUUAUCUCUGCUUGUGUUCUUUCUGUAAGUGGGUCAGAUCAGUGUCAAAAAUGAUGUCACUCACAUAAUUUUGGAGAAAUUUUGAGCAGGUUUUUGCAAUAAAACUCUAUCACAACA